GCCGGGCGUGGUGGCUCAUGCCUGUAAUCCCAGCUACUCAGGAGGCUGAGGCAGGAGAAUCACUUGAACCCAGGAGGCAGAGGUUGCAGUGAGCUGAGAUGGCACCACUGCAUUCCAGCCUGGGCGACAGAGUGAGACCCCGUCUCCA
RNAcentral lists this small RNA (148 nucleotides) under Pongo abelii (Sumatran orangutan). RNAcentral's name for it is "Metazoan signal recognition particle RNA (ENSPPYG00000035085.1)". The record is from Rfam by way of RNAcentral. Lineage: Eukaryota; Metazoa; Chordata; Mammalia; Primates; Hominidae.